This 501-nucleotide ribosomal RNA is filed under the name uncultured bacterium. RNAcentral's name for it is "partial 16S ribosomal RNA". It matches the Rfam family "Bacterial small subunit ribosomal RNA", at positions 30 to 523 of the family's 1533-position model. The record is from RNAcentral.
AUUGAACGCUGGCGGCAGGCUUAACACAUGCAAGUCGAGCGGAGAUGAGGUGCUUGCACCUUAUCUUAGCGGCGGACGGGUGAGUAAUGCUUAGGAAUCUGCCUAUUAGUGGGGGACAACAUUCCGAAAGGAAUGCUAAUACCGCAUACGUCCUACGGGAGAAAGCAGGGGAUCUUCGGACCUUGCGCUAAUAGAUGAGCCUAAGUCGGAUUGGCUAGUUGGUGGGGUAAAGGCCUACCAAGGCGACGAUCUGUAGCGGGUCUGAGAGGAUGGACCGCCACAAUGGGACUGAGACACGGCCCAGACUCCUACGGGAGGCAGCAGUGGGGAAUAUUGGACAAUGGGGGGAACCCUGAUCCAGCCAUGCCGCGUGUGUGAAGAAGGCCUUAUGGUUGUAAAGCACUUUAAGCGAGGAGGAGGCUCUUUUGGUUAAUACCCAAGAUGAGUGGACGUUACUCGCAGAAUAAGCACCGGCUAACUCUGUGCCAGCCGCCGCGGUAA